CGGGACGUGGCGCAGCUUGGUAGCGCACCCGCUUUGGGAGCGGGGGGUCGCAGGUUCAAAUCCUGUCGUCCCGA
This 74-nucleotide transfer RNA is filed under the name Glycomyces lechevalierae. RNAcentral's name for it is "tRNA-Pro". It matches the Rfam family "tRNA". Rfam says of the family: Transfer RNA (tRNA) molecules are approximately 80 nucleotides in length. Their secondary structure includes four short double-helical elements and three loops (D, anti-codon, and T loops). Lineage: Bacteria; Bacillati; Actinomycetota; Actinomycetes; Glycomycetales; Glycomycetaceae. The record is from RNAcentral. RNAcentral also lists the same sequence under 8 other names.